RNAcentral lists this ribosomal RNA (712 nucleotides) under Microbacterium sp. 3_42p. RNAcentral's name for it is "bacterial SSU rRNA". It matches the Rfam family "Bacterial small subunit ribosomal RNA", at positions 728 to 1437 of the family's 1533-position model. The record is from RNAcentral. Lineage: Bacteria; Bacillati; Actinomycetota; Actinomycetes; Micrococcales; Microbacteriaceae.
UCUGGGCCGUUACUGACGCUGAGGAGCGAAAGGGUGGGGAGCAAACAGGCUUAGAUACCCUGGUAGUCCACCCCGUAAACGUUGGGAACUAGUUGUGGGGUCCAUUCCACGGAUUCCGUGACGCAGCUAACGCAUUAAGUUCCCCGCCUGGGGAGUACGGCCGCAAGGCUAAAACUCAAAGGAAUUGACGGGGACCCGCACAAGCGGCGGAGCAUGCGGAUUAAUUCGAUGCAACGCGAAGAACCUUACCAAGGCUUGACAUAUACGAGAACGGGCCAGAAAUGGUCAACUCUUUGGACACUCGUAAACAGGUGGUGCAUGGUUGUCGUCAGCUCGUGUCGUGAGAUGUUGGGUUAAGUCCCGCAACGAGCGCAACCCUCGUUCUAUGUUGCCAGCACGUAAUGGUGGGAACUCAUGGGAUACUGCCGGGGUCAACUCGGAGGAAGGUGGGGAUGACGUCAAAUCAUCAUGCCCCUUAUGUCUUGGGCUUCACGCAUGCUACAAUGGCCGGUACAAAGGGCUGCAAUACCGCGAGGUGGAGCGAAUCCCAAAAAGCCGGUCCCAGUUCGGAUUGAGGUCUGCAACUCGACCUCAUGAAGUCGGAGUCGCUAGUAAUCGCAGAUCAGCAACGCUGCGGUGAAUACGUUCCCGGGUCUUGUACACACCGCCCGUCAAGUCAUGAAAGUCGGUAACACCUGAAGCCGGUGGCCCA